RNAcentral lists this ribosomal RNA (466 nucleotides) under Burkholderia sp. oral taxon 406. RNAcentral's name for it is "bacterial SSU rRNA". It matches the Rfam family "Bacterial small subunit ribosomal RNA", at positions 30 to 484 of the family's 1533-position model. The record is from RNAcentral. Lineage: Bacteria; Pseudomonadati; Pseudomonadota; Betaproteobacteria; Burkholderiales; Burkholderiaceae.
AUUGAACGCUGGCGGCAUGCCUUACACAUGCAAGUCGAACGGCAGCAUGAUCUAGCUUGCUAGAUUGAUGGCGAGUGGCGAACGGGUGAGUAAUACAUCGGAACGUGCCCUGUAGUGGGGGAUAACUAGUCGAAAGAUUAGCUAAUACCGCAUACGACCUGAGGGUGAAAGUGGGGGACCGCAAGGCCUCAUGCUAUAGGAGCGGCCGAUGUCUGAUUAGCUAGUUGGUGAGGUAAAGGCUCACCAAGGCGACGAUCAGUAGCUGGUCUGAGAGGACGAUCAGCCACACUGGGACUGAGACACGGCCCAGACUCCUACGGGAGGCAGCAGUGGGGAAUUUUGGACAAUGGGGGCAACCCUGAUCCAGCAAUGCCGCGUGUGUGAAGAAGGCCUUCGGGUUGUAAAGCACUUUUGUCCGGAAAGAAAUCGCACUUACUAAUAUUAGGUGUGGAUGACGUACCGAAGA